This 262-nucleotide ribosomal RNA is filed under the name uncultured bacterium. RNAcentral's name for it is "partial 16S ribosomal RNA". It matches the Rfam family "Bacterial small subunit ribosomal RNA", at positions 793 to 1055 of the family's 1533-position model. The record is from RNAcentral.
GUCCACGCCUUAAACUAUGAAUACUAAGUGUCGGCGGGUUACCGCCGGUGCCGCAGCUAACGCAUUAAGUAUUCCGCCUGGGAAGUACGGCCGCAAGGUUGAAACUCAAAGGAAUUGACGGGGCCCGCACAAGCGGUGGAGCAUGUGGUUUAAUUCGACGCAACGCGAAGAACCUUACCCAGGCUGGACAUGCAGGUAGUAGAAGGGUGAAAGCCCAACGAGGUAGCAAUACCAUCCUGCUCAGGUGCUGCAUGGCUGUCGU